Lotus japonicus is the source of this 735-nucleotide long non-coding RNA. RefSeq lists it as uncharacterized. The transcript has 3 exons. NCBI's taxonomy places the organism in Eukaryota, Viridiplantae, Streptophyta, Magnoliopsida, Fabales, Fabaceae. The record is from RefSeq and is a predicted model, not a curated record.
CCCCCUCACUCCAAAACCAAACAUUUCUGAGAGAGAGAAAAAACCAAAAGUAAAAAUGAAAUUAGGGUUAAAAAUUGGGUGAAGUGCACCAACAGAUUCAUAACCAACAAGAAGAACCCACCAUUGCAAUUAGGGUUCUAAAUCCCAAGUGUCAAAGGUGUUGUGAUCAGACCCAACAACUGCAGCGCCUGCAAACGACGACGCCGUCGGCGAGGAGGUCUUGUUUGCCCCCUCUGCCUCCGAGCCUCAGGAGAACUGUCUCUGAUCUCACUCCUUCGCCGGUUAAAGCUUCACCUCGUUCUUUGAGCUCUAAAGAAACCACCCCUUAUUUAACGAAGCUGAGGAAGAUGGAGGAUCUAAUGAGGGAGAUGAUGCAAAGGUGUGAUGAAGUUAUGAAAAGUGAAGAAGAAGGAGAUGAAGAGUGUGUUGUUGCUGAAAUUGGCAAAGUCUCAUCUCAGGAUGAAUUGCAUAGAAAUUCUGAAGAAGCUGUAAGCGUGGAAUGGACAUGAAGAUUUGGGUUGCUUAAUCCAUAUUUGUUUAGCUUUUGAGGUGGAGAUGUUUUAGGAAUUGAUUUUUUUUGGGUGAGAUGAUGAGAGGAAGAAGAUGAUGGAGAAAUUGCAUAUUUUUUAAUUUGGGGAUUUUGACCAGGGAAUAAAUUGAAGUUCUUAAGUUUUCAAAAAAAAUUCCCCAAUUUUAAAUCCACGUGGAAAUUCCACAUGAGCAAAUAACGAGCCA